Molecule: long non-coding RNA, 955 nt
Organism: Glycine soja
Lineage: Eukaryota; Viridiplantae; Streptophyta; Magnoliopsida; Fabales; Fabaceae
Exons: 6
Source: RefSeq, a predicted model, not a curated record
CUAAUCCUUCUAUCAUAUUCAUGGAUGAGCCAACUUCUGGGCUAGAUGCAAGAGUUGCUGCUGUUGUUAUGAGGGCUAUCGGGAAAAUAGUGGACACUGGAAGAACAGUUGUCUGCACCAUCCAUCAGCCAAGCAUUGAUAUAUUUGAAUCUUUUGAUGAGGUAAAUAUGCAGAGUAAAAAAUUGUGACAUCUUUAUUCUCUUCUACUAACAAGUUUCUAAUUUUUAUUGUCAACUAAAUGCAACUUUUUCUAAUGAAAUGAGGAGGACAAGAGAUAUAUGUGGGGCCACUUCGACAUCAUUCUUAUCAUUUAAUCAGUUACUUUGAGGUAUUUAUACCAAAUCAGAAAUAGAUGUACACCACACAAGAAGCUAGAGAAAUUUCACUAACUCAGGUUCCGCAUUUUAACAACAACAUUGUUCUUAAAUGCAAAGAGUUUUUGACUAAUCAAUUAUGGCCUAUGAGAUAACUGAGAUAAAGAGUAAGUAAUAAGCAUAGCAAUGCCACUAUGUGCUUAGAUUGACUAAAUCCAACUUCCGAGAGCCAAUAAAUAUUGGAAGUGAUGAGAUGGUUAGCAUGAAUGAGAUGGCUGAGAUUAUUAUUGGCUUUGAGAACAAGAAUAUUCCUAUUCACCACAUUCCUGGCCUUGAGGGUGUUCGAGGUCGUAAUUUAGACAAUACAAUGAUAAAAGAAAAACUUGGUUGGGCUCCAACUAUGAGGUUGAAGGAUGGGUUGAGAAUCACAUACUUCUGGAUUAAGAAGUAGAUCGAGAAGGAGAAGGCUCAAGGUAUUGAUAUAUCUGUGUAUGGGUCUAAAUUAUUUGUUAAGGUGGUUUUUUAAGGUACUUCGUGGUGCUUAAGGUGGUUUACUGCACUAGAAGCUCUAAAUUAUUUGUUUUGAAUUUUGAUGUCUAAAUAAUUGAUUAAUAAGAAAAUAAUUUUUUAUUCCUUAUGAA